GUGCUUUUUUUUCUGAAGCUUUGGUAGUGUAACGGUAAGAGUCCUGGAAUUGGAAAAGCAAAUCCAGAAGUUGAGUUCCAUGACUUUUUUGCUGUUUGCCUUUGGACUUGCAUCGUUUAUAUUUUUAAUUCAUCGAGGAUGAGAAAAUUGAUUAACACAAAAUCUUUUCAUGUCUUUUCUGAUGACAGACUAGCUGAAUCCAAGAAGAGAAGCCCUUGAAGAGUGUAUUCUAUUCUAGUCAAGCAUUCACACAUUGGCUUCUUUGGUGCCAGAUCCUGGUCACAGAUUUUGGUGUGGAUGUGGUAAAAAGGGAGCACUUUUUACACUGCUGGUGGGAAGGGAAAUUAGUACAACCACAAUGGAAAACUGUAUAGAGAUUCUUUAAAGAACUAGAAGUAGAAUCACCAUUUGACCCAGCAAUCCCACUACUGAGUAUAUACCCAGAGGAAAACAACUUAUUAUAUGAGAAAGAUAAGCACAUGCAUGUUUAUAACAGCACAAGUUGCAAUUGAAAAAAUAUGGAACCAGCCCAAUUGCCCCUCAGUGAACAAGUGGAUAAAGAAAAUGUGGUAUAUCUACACAAUGGAAUACUACUCAACCAAAAAAGAAAAAAAACAAUGACAUUUACAGCAACCUGGAUGGAGAUUGAAGACAAUUAUUCUAUGUGAAGUAACUCAUUAAUGCAAAACCAAAUAUUGUAGGUUUUCCCUCAUAAGUGGGGCCUAAGCUAUGAGGACACAAAGGCAUAAGAAUGAUAUGAUGGAUUUUGGGGAAUUGAGAGGAAGUUUGGGAGGGAAGUGAGGGGUAAAAGACUACACGCUGGGUACAGUGUACACUGCUCAAGUGACGGGUUCACCAGAAUCUUAGAAAUCACCACUAAAGAGCUUUUCCAUGUAACCAAAAGCCACCUGCUCCCAAAAGCCAUUGAAAUAAAAUUUUUUAAAAAACUA
Molecule: long non-coding RNA, 950 nt
Organism: Gorilla gorilla gorilla (western lowland gorilla)
Lineage: Eukaryota; Metazoa; Chordata; Mammalia; Primates; Hominidae
Exons: 3
Source: RefSeq, a predicted model, not a curated record